RNAcentral lists this ribosomal RNA (442 nucleotides) under uncultured bacterium. RNAcentral's name for it is "partial 16S ribosomal RNA". It matches the Rfam family "Bacterial small subunit ribosomal RNA", at positions 338 to 795 of the family's 1533-position model. The record is from RNAcentral.
CCUACGGGAGGCUGCAGUGGGGAAUAGUGGGCAAUGGGCGCAAGCCUGACCCAGCAACGCCGCGUGAAGGAAGAAGGCUGUCGGGUGGUAAACUUCUGUUGUCAGGGAAGAGGAGAAGACGGUACGUGACGAAUAAGCCACGGCUAACUACGGGCCAGCAGCCGCGGUAAUACGUAGGUGGCAAGCGUUGUCCGGUUUUACUGGGUGGAAAGGGCGUGUAGCCGGGUUGACAAGUCAGAUGGGAAAUCCUGCGGCUUAACCGAAGACCUGCAUUUGACACUGUUGAUCUUGAGUACUGGAGAGGCCGCCGGACUUCCUAGUGUAGCGGUGACAUGCGUAGCUAUUAGGUGGAACCCCAGUGGCGACGGCGGUCUGCUGGACCGCAACUGACGGUGCUGCGCGAACGCGUGGGGCGCAAACAGGAUUAGAUACCCCUGUAGUC